Long non-coding RNA from Trifolium pratense (red clover), 401 nucleotides. RefSeq lists it as uncharacterized. The transcript has 2 exons. The record is from RefSeq and is a predicted model, not a curated record. NCBI's taxonomy places the organism in Eukaryota, Viridiplantae, Streptophyta, Magnoliopsida, Fabales, Fabaceae.
UUAAAGAUCUAUAUAAGUACAACAAAUUGAAUCAAAUAAACAAAACAUAGUACUUUUAAAAUAUAAAGUGAUCAAUACAUUUCUAUCUGUUGUAAGCUUAAUUAGGAAGAAAAAUAUGGCUGAAAUUAUAAAGUUUAUUUAUUUAAUGAUCUUCUUUAUUUCCUUAUCUUAUGUAGUGGUUGAAGUUGCUGGAUCACAGGAAAUGGAUUUAAUUUGCCAAUUUAGCAGUGAUUGUGAAAAAUUUAAGUGCCAUGGUCUUACGGUUCCAACAUGCAUUACUCGUCAUUGUAGAUGUCGUUAUGUAAUGAAGCCCAUAGGAUAUGAAUGAAAGUAAUUCUAUUAGUAGUGAAAUGAAAUUGAUGGUAAAACAAACAAUAUGUUGAAGGACUUUGUGUAAUGAG